CUUCAGUGUUGAACCUGGACCUUCAGACUCAAAACACACAGCAGAGUCUUUAGGAUCCAGCAGGUUGUCUCUGAAGAGUGAUUGGUCCAAAGGUCGUCCACCAGCCUUCAGUGUUCAACCUGUACCUUUAGACACAAAGUAAGAAAAGAAGAGGACUGAUGUCUGUGAGGAGCAGC
Long non-coding RNA from Salarias fasciatus (jewelled blenny), 176 nucleotides. RefSeq lists it as uncharacterized. The record is from RefSeq and is a predicted model, not a curated record. Lineage: Eukaryota; Metazoa; Chordata; Actinopteri; Blenniiformes; Blenniidae. The transcript is spliced from 3 exons.